Molecule: ribosomal RNA, 301 nt
Filed under: uncultured bacterium
Lineage: Bacteria
Description: partial 16S ribosomal RNA
Rfam family: Bacterial small subunit ribosomal RNA
Source: RNAcentral
CAGCAGCCACGGUAAUACGAGGGGUGCAAGCGUUAUUCGGAUUGAUUGGGUGUAAAGGGUGUGCAGACGGCUUAUUAAGUCACUUGCUAAAUUCUUCGGCCUAACUGAAGGUCUGCAAGUGAUACUGAUGAGCUAGAGGGUGGAAGAGAGAAGUGGAAUUCUCGGAGUAGCGGUAAAAUGCGUAGAUCUCGAGAGGAACACCAAUGGCGAAGGCAGCUGCUUGGUCCAUUCCUGACGUUCAUACACGAAAGCGUGGGGAGCAAACAGGAUUAGAUACCCGCGUAGUCCCUGUCUCUUAUAC